Molecule: long non-coding RNA, 424 nt
Filed under: Homo sapiens (human)
Lineage: Eukaryota; Metazoa; Chordata; Mammalia; Primates; Hominidae
Description: HSALNT0098309
Source: RNAcentral
AGAGUGCAGCGGGUCACCCUAAUUCCCAAAAAGCUACACAAGUAUCUCGACUAAUCCCAAGAACCCUGCCCUGGCAUAUCCUUGCAGGCUGGAGGGAGACCCCAGUGAAUGGCUGGAAACUGAUCGUAUCUCAGGUGCUGAUGUCAAACGUCUGAACAGGGCAGUGAUUCUCCAAAACAAUGGCUGCCUUUGGUUUCAACCUCCUCCUCACCUCAAAUGGGGGUGCAUGGAACAGUGAAGCUUAGUGGUUAAGAGCAUGGACUCUGGACUCUCACAGACCUGAUUUCAGUUACAGGCUUUGCUGUUUCUAGCUGGGCAUUCCUAUGUAAGUCACAUAACCUCUCUGAGACUGUGUUAUCUGAAUAAAUAUGGCAGGGGAAACAGACCUAUGUGACUCACUGGGUAUCACUAACUCCACCAUUCC